UACGUAGGCAGCGAGCGUUGUUCGGAGUUACUGGGCGUAAAGGGUGUGUAGGCGGUUGUUUAAGUUUGGUGUGAAAUCUCCCGGCUCAACUGGGAGGGUGCGCCGAAUACUGAAUGACUUCGAGUGCGGGAGAGGAAAGUGGAAUUCCUGGUGUAGCGGUGAAAUGCGUAGAUAUCAGGAGGAACACCGGUGGUGUAGACGGCUUUCUGGACCGUAACUGACGCUGAGACACGAAAGCGUGGAUAGCAAACAGG
This 254-nucleotide ribosomal RNA is filed under the name uncultured bacterium. RNAcentral describes it as "partial 16S ribosomal RNA". It matches the Rfam family "Bacterial small subunit ribosomal RNA", at positions 524 to 776 of the family's 1533-position model. The record is from RNAcentral.